GCCAAACAGCUAGCUCGACCCAAAGAACUAAAUUUUAAGUAUAAACAACUCUACAGAAAAGAAAAACCCAAACUAAACCAUUCGACCACCCCAGUAUGGGCGACAGAAAAGGAACAAUGAAGCCAU
RNAcentral lists this ribosomal RNA (126 nucleotides) under Hyperlophus vittatus (sandy sprat). RNAcentral's name for it is "partial 16S ribosomal RNA". Lineage: Eukaryota; Metazoa; Chordata; Actinopteri; Clupeiformes; Clupeidae. The record is from RNAcentral.